UACGGAGGGUGCAAGCGUUAUCCGGAUUCACUGGGUUUAAAGGGUGCGUAGGUGGGCAGGUAAGUCAGUGGUGAAAUCUCCGUGCUUAACAUGGAAACUGCCAUUGAUACUACUGGUCUUGAAUUUUCCGGAGGUAAGCGGAAUAUGUCAUGUAGCGGUGAAAUGCUUAGAUAUGACAUAGAACACCAAUUGCGAAGGCAGCUUACUACAGGGAUAUUGACACUGAGGCACGAAAGCGUGGGGAGCAAACAGG
RNAcentral lists this ribosomal RNA (253 nucleotides) under uncultured bacterium. Its description in RNAcentral is "partial 16S ribosomal RNA". It matches the Rfam family "Bacterial small subunit ribosomal RNA", at positions 524 to 776 of the family's 1533-position model. The record is from RNAcentral.